RNAcentral lists this ribosomal RNA (249 nucleotides) under uncultured bacterium. Its description in RNAcentral is "partial 16S ribosomal RNA". It matches the Rfam family "Bacterial small subunit ribosomal RNA", at positions 28 to 285 of the family's 1533-position model. The record is from RNAcentral.
GAUGAACGUUGGCGGCGUGCCUAACACAUGCAAGUCGAACGCUAGUAGCAAUAUUAGAGUGGCGCACGGGUGAGUAACACGUAGCUUACCCACCUCCCAGCGCGGGAUAACGGUUCGAAAGAACUGCUAAUACCGCAUAAGCUCACGGGCUAUAGAGGCUAGUGAGAAAAGGCUUAGGUCACUGGGAGCGGGGGCUGCGGCCCAUCAGCUGGUUGGGGCGGUAACGGCGCACCAAGGCGACGACGGGUA